GUAUGUGAAAAGUAAAUGACAAAGCUACAUUUUACACUCUGAAAAGUCAUUCUCCCCAGCCUACAUUCUUGCUAUGACACAUGCUGACUCACAGUUCGAUGACACAAGUAAGCAUUUGUUUUGAGCCUUGAUCAGCUCAUGGGCAUAAUUAAAGUUGAGCCCACUGCAAGAUCUUAAACCCUUCCAAAAACAAACCCCCGAAGAGGUACUUUCGUAGAAGGAGACCCGCACCCAGGAAUCAUCGAGACCACGAGCUUGGAUGCAAAACCACAAGAGGCUUUAUUGGAGAUACAGAUCUGUGUAAGAGUGGUGAGAAGUAGCCAUGCCAUGGUGAGACUAUGAUACCUUGUAGUUUUCUCCACCAGAGGAAUUAGUCCAUUACUCCUGAGUUCAGCAUCACUCAAGUCCUCAGAAUAUGGACAGAAGUUCCGGCCUAGGCCCAGCCCAGGAUGAUGUGGUGGACUUUGAGGAGCCCCAUCGAGGGCCCUACCCUGCCUGGGGAGUGGAG
This 508-nucleotide long non-coding RNA is filed under the name Cricetulus griseus (Chinese hamster). RNAcentral describes it as "lncRNA (ENSCGRG00015035747.1)". Lineage: Eukaryota; Metazoa; Chordata; Mammalia; Rodentia; Cricetidae. The record is from RNAcentral.